GAUGAAGAACGCAGCGAAAUGCGAUACUUGGUGUGAAUUGCAGAAUCCCGUGAACCAUCGAGUCUUUGAACGCAAGUUGCGCCCGAAGCCAUUAGGCCGAGGGCACGCCUGCCUGGGCGUCACACGUCGUUGCCCCCCCAUCUACUCCUUCGGGAUUGCGGGGGGCGGAUGAUGGCCUCUCGUGCGCCUCGUCGCGCGGUUGGCCUAAAUGCCAAGUCCUCGGCGACGCACGCCACGACAAUCGGUGGUUGCGAAACCUCGGUUGCCUGUCGUGUGCGGUCGUCGCGCAUCGAGGGCUCGAAAAAAUUGCCGGGCUUCGGCUCGACUUUCAACGCGACCCCAGGUCAGGCGGGGUUACCCGCUGAAUUUAAGAAUAUCAAUAAGCGGAGGA
Molecule: unclassified non-coding RNA, 391 nt
Filed under: soil metagenome
Description: partial contains 5.8S ribosomal RNA, internal transcribed spacer 2, and large subunit ribosomal RNA
Rfam family: 5.8S ribosomal RNA (bases 1-122)
Source: RNAcentral